GGAGGUUGUAGCUCAGUCGGUUAGAGCGUCGGUUUGUGGCACCGAAGGCCGCGGGUUCGAAUCCCGUCUUCCUCCC
RNAcentral lists this transfer RNA (76 nucleotides) under Cytophagales bacterium. RNAcentral describes it as "tRNA-His". It matches the Rfam family "tRNA". From Rfam's summary of the family: Transfer RNA (tRNA) molecules are approximately 80 nucleotides in length. Their secondary structure includes four short double-helical elements and three loops (D, anti-codon, and T loops). RNAcentral also lists the same sequence under 1 other name. Lineage: Bacteria; Pseudomonadati; Bacteroidota; Cytophagia; Cytophagales. The record is from RNAcentral.